GACGAACGCUGGCGGCGUGCUUAACACAUGCAAGUCGAACGGAAAGGCCCUGCUUUUGUGGGGUGCUCGAGUGGCGAACGGGUGAGUAACACGUGAGUAACCUGCCCUUGACUUUGGGAUAACUUCAGGAAACUGGGGCUAAUACCGGAUAGGAGCUCCUGCUGCAUGGUGGGGGUUGGAAAGUUUCGGCGGUUGGGGAUGGACUCGCGGCUUAUCAGCUUGUUGGUGGGGUAGUGGCUUACCAAGGCUUUGACGGGUAGCCGGCCUGGGAGGGUGACCGGCCACAUUGGGACUGAGAUACGGCCCAGACUCCUACGGGAGGCAGCAGUGGGGAAUAUUGCACAAUGGGCGGAAGCCUGAUGCAGCAACGCCGCGUGGGGGAUGACGGCCUUCGGGUUGUAAACCGUUUUCGCCUGUGACGAAGCGUGAGUGACGGUAAUGGGUAAAGAAGCACCGGCUAACUACGUG
This 468-nucleotide ribosomal RNA is filed under the name uncultured bacterium. RNAcentral's name for it is "partial 16S ribosomal RNA". It matches the Rfam family "Bacterial small subunit ribosomal RNA", at positions 28 to 507 of the family's 1533-position model. The record is from RNAcentral.